AAAAGCCCUAGAAACAC
Molecule: transfer RNA, 17 nt
Filed under: Cornufer nakanaiorum
Lineage: Eukaryota; Metazoa; Chordata; Amphibia; Anura; Ceratobatrachidae
Description: partial tRNA-Phe
Source: RNAcentral